RNAcentral lists this transfer RNA (74 nucleotides) under Spirochaetaceae bacterium. RNAcentral describes it as "tRNA-Arg". It matches the Rfam family "tRNA". From Rfam's summary of the family: Transfer RNA (tRNA) molecules are approximately 80 nucleotides in length. Their secondary structure includes four short double-helical elements and three loops (D, anti-codon, and T loops). Further hydrogen bonds mediate the characteristic L-shaped molecular structure. tRNAs have two regions of fundamental functional importance: the anti-codon, which is responsible for specific mRNA codon recognition, and the 3' end, to which the tRNAs corresponding amino acid is attached (by aminoacyl-tRNA synthetases). tRNAs cope with the degeneracy of the genetic code in two manners: having more than one tRNA (with a specific anti-codon) for a particular amino acid; and 'wobble' base-pairing, i.e. permitting non-standard base-pairing at the 3rd anti-codon position. The record is from RNAcentral. Lineage: Bacteria; Pseudomonadati; Spirochaetota; Spirochaetia; Spirochaetales; Spirochaetaceae. RNAcentral also lists the same sequence under 1 other name.
GCCCCAGUAGCUCAGGUGGAUAGAGCAACGGUUUCCUAAACCGUGGGUCGGACGUUCGAGUCGUCUCUGGGGUA